CCCUUGAGGCGUGGCUUCCGGAGCUAACGCGUUAAAUCGACCGCCUGGGGAGUACGGCCGCAAGGUUAAAACUCAAAUGAAUUGACGGGGGCCCGCACAAGCGGUGGAGCAUGUGGUUUAAUUCGAUGCAACGCGAAGAACCUUACCUGGUCUUGACAUCCACAGAACUUUCCAGAGAUGGAUUGGUGCCUUCGGGAACUGUGAGACAGGUGCUGCAUGGCUGUCGUCAGCUCGUGUUGUGAAAUGUUGGGUUAAGUCCCGCAACGAGCGCAACCCUUAUCCUUUGUUGCCAGCGGUCCGGCCGGGAACUCAAAGGAGACUGCCAGUGAUAAACUGGAGGAAGGUGGGGAUGACGUCAAGUCAUCAUGGCCCUUACGACCAGGGCUACACACGUGCUACAAUGGCAUAUACAAAGAGAAGCGACCUCGCGAGAGCAAGCGGACCUCAUAAAGUAUGUCGUAGUCCGGAUUGGAGUCUGCAACUCGACUCCAUGAAGUCGGAAUCGCUAGUAAUCGUAGAUCAGAAUGCUACGGUGAAUACGUUCCCGGGCCUUGUACACACCGCCCGUCACACCAUGGGAGUGGGUUGCAAAAGAAGUAGGUAGCUUAACCUUCGGGAGGGCGCUUACCACUUUGUGAUUCAUGACUGGGGUGAAGUCGUAACAAGGUAACCGUAGGGGAACCUGCGGUUGGAUCACCUCCUUACCUUAAAGAA
RNAcentral lists this ribosomal RNA (714 nucleotides) under Klebsiella pneumoniae subsp. pneumoniae. RNAcentral describes it as "bacterial SSU rRNA". It matches the Rfam family "Bacterial small subunit ribosomal RNA", at positions 829 to 1533 of the family's 1533-position model. Lineage: Bacteria; Pseudomonadati; Pseudomonadota; Gammaproteobacteria; Enterobacterales; Enterobacteriaceae. The record is from RNAcentral.